AUGUUGACUAACCCUACUAAUAGCCUUCAUGAGUCUUGUGAUGAUGCAGAAAACAGCAGUGAAAAAAUCAUAGCAAAUGGUGAAGAAAACAGUGCAGCAAAUUCAUAUUUCAUGUGUCCUGGCCUGGGGAGCAAAUCACCCUUGGGAUCUGGUCAGGAGUUGCCGCCGCGCAGCGAAUCCGCUUCAGGAUCGGUGCCCUGUAGUGAAUCUGCUGCGACAGGCGCAGGCGCGCAUGCAAUCCUGGAGGGUCACGGUGCCUCCCCUCGCGCACGCCAAUCGCCGCCCAACAAAUGGCAGGCCGGCGCUGGCCUGGGCUGCGCGCGGCUUGAGGCCCAACCGCUUGUCUACAAGUGGCGGACAGUGACUCACCUGACAGGAGCGGAGACAGAUCCUGAUCCUCCUUGGGAUCGGGGGAGGAUCAGCUUGAUCUAG
RNAcentral lists this ribosomal RNA (432 nucleotides) under Triticum aestivum (bread wheat). Its description in RNAcentral is "partial small subunit ribosomal RNA". The record is from RNAcentral. Lineage: Eukaryota; Viridiplantae; Streptophyta; Magnoliopsida; Poales; Poaceae.